This 1488-nucleotide long non-coding RNA is filed under the name Rattus norvegicus (Norway rat). RNAcentral describes it as "long non-coding RNA NONRATT021092". Lineage: Eukaryota; Metazoa; Chordata; Mammalia; Rodentia; Muridae. The record is from RNAcentral.
CCUAUCCGUCCCAUCAGAAACAACCUGGGUUUAGUUAUCGCGUGGGUUUCCAUGUUACCAGCCUAGUUCUGCAAAUUAGGAACUACAGUUGUGGGGCAGAGGGGCCAGGUUCCUUGGUUCAUUUACAUCCUGCUGCCACACUUUCAAACCAAGAAUGAAGUCACCCCCUCCCCAGAGCCCCCCAACCAGUAUCCCUGAGCAGCUUCUGGAGAGUCCUCUGAAGGAACCUGCCUAGGAUCAAAACUCAAGCCCGGUGUUGCCACCCUCCUCCCCAGCCUGGCUCCUCACUAAAGAGCCCCCAGAGAUCCCCAAGACACCGUUCUACUGAGUGUUCAGAUUGAUUCCUAGAAGCAGAAGUGAGGAGUUUGAAGGGGUGCAGUAUCAAUGUCCAAGGAGGCCACCCUGAGCCCUAAAAAAAAUCACUCCAGGAUUGUCAACUGUCAAGUGUUCUCUCUCUGUAGUUUGAGACGUUCAUCUCUUCAUGAUGGUGCCAGGGUGCAUAAAUGGUACCAUGUGAUGAGAAAGCUGUGGCUUUGUAAGAAAGAAGCAGCCAUCAGAGGAAACAAGCAGACAGAGGGAAAGACUCGGAGGCGGAAAGCACAUGUUCCUUAUAUCAAUACCUUCCCGUGUGUGUGUGUGUGUGUGUGUGUGUGUGUGUGUGUGUGUGUGUGUGUACAUGCAUUGCUAGAAUUAUAAGCCUGUGCCAGCACACCACCUACGCCAUCUCCCAACCUCAAGAACCAGCAUUUUGAUCGUGGCCUCCAUGCCCAGCACUGCAGUAGACUUCAAGUUAAUGAUCUAAUGUCUGUCUAUCAAAGUCUUCUGAAAGAGCCAUUUCAAGCACUGUGUGGACCAGGGUGGCCAAAGCCUGGCUGCUGGCUCGUGUUUUGUGCUCCUUUAACAUCUGUGGGUUGUCACUGCUGUGUCCUUUCAGACAACAGAAAAAAAAAAGGUGGCCUCUUCUGUUUUAAAACCUUUAUACAUACACAAAACAAAAACAAAAACCACCUUUCCACCAGAUUACAAAACUCUAGGAAAUGUCUCAAGGGUGACCUUGAGCAAACUGCUGCCAUGUCCUCCUGGCCUGUGACACAGUUGGUGAGGACAAUUGCCUGUGUGUUUAGAACACAGUGAUUUGAUUCUGAGCAAAAGGCAGCCCUUGGAGACUGAAGUAACUCAGGCCCUCUGUGAACGCUGUGGCAACGUACAGCUCACCCUACCAAGGUGUCAUUAUCUAAUGACAACCAAGGCAGAGAUGCUUCUCUGUUAGACUGACAGUGUAAUCUCACUAUGGCUUCUGCUCUCAGGAUCUACAGGAGGUGGUGAGUCUCGACAGACAUGAAGAAAGGGCCCAGGAGGAGUGGAAACUCUGCCUUGGAGUAGUCUAUCUCUUGAACGCCUCUCUGAGCCUGCUUUAUUUUCUUGUGCCAGCCACCUCUAUUCUGCAAAGCAGACCUCCCUCUAAAGUCACUUAACCACAGGGGAUCC